RNAcentral lists this long non-coding RNA (1497 nucleotides) under Lepisosteus oculatus (spotted gar). Its description in RNAcentral is "lncRNA (ENSLOCG00000021461.1)". Lineage: Eukaryota; Metazoa; Chordata; Actinopteri; Semionotiformes; Lepisosteidae. The record is from RNAcentral.
GGCGCCGGAGUCCUACAGUAACCAGGCGCUAGUGUACUGUAUGAUAUAAUUAUUACUGAGAUAAGCCAGUGACUGAGGUAUUGGACAACAGAGGCUGUAAACAGUGAGACAGCAGGGGGCAGUGUACUUCUGUAGGAGACAGUGCAGGCUGUAAACAGUGAGACAGCAGGGGACAGUGUACUGCUGUAGGGGACAGUGCAGGCUGUAAACAGUGAGACAGCAGGGGGCAGUGUACUGCAGUAGGGGACAGUGCAGGCUGUAAACAGUGAGACAGCAGGGGGCAGUGUACUGCAGUAGGGGACAGUGAUCUAGUGCUGGUGUGUCCACAGGGUCUCUCUGUAGUGCUGGUGGAUCACGGGCUCUGCACAACAGCGCAGCCCUGUGGCAGGGUACAGUGAACCAGCCCAGUCAGCCUGCAGGGGACAGACCCAGUCAGACAGCGCGGGGGCCGAGGGGGGGGCGGGUCGCCAGGGGAAACGUGUGAACUGGCACAGCCAGCCAUUGGAGGGGGGGGGGCAUUCCCCCACCUGAUUGGCUGAGCCCGUCACAGGCCCCGCCCUUCCCCACACGACGGACAGGGAUGCUACCCUAUAAGGGCCCAGACAGAGGUACAGAGUACUGCCCCGAGGGAGGGUCGCCGUCCCACCCAGGGAGCCCACACAGCGAUCAGCGACCCCUGGCCCCUCAGAGCCGCUGCAGGAGCGGAGGUCAGCACACACACAGCAGGAAGGGGCGUGGUCACAUGAAGAGGGGGAGUGGUCCCAUCGUGAGGGCGGGGCCGAGGAGAAAGGGGUGUGGUCACAUGUAGAGGGGGGGUGGCCACACCGCGAGGACAGGGCCAAGGGGAAAGGGGUGGGGCAUGUCCAGGAGAGGUGUGGCCACAACAUGAGGGCGGAGCCAGGGGAGAAAGGGGGUGUGGUCAGUCCAGAAGGGGUGUGGCCACACGUAGAGGGGGAGAGGUCACACUAUGAGGGCGGGGCCAGGGGGAAAGGGGUGUGGUCACACAGUGAGGGCGGGGCCAGGGGAGAAAGGGGUGGGCCCCCCACCCUGCUGUGAACGAGCUGCGGUCCAGGAGCUCCACGCCUCAGGUCUACAGGUCCCACGGCCCCCGCACAGGUGGUCCGGUCUCGUCAGAGGGCACCCAAACGGGCCACACGGUCCGGCCGGGUCAGGAGGGCGGCCCACGAGCUUCCGAGGGUCCGAUCGGCGAACCGCCCUCCCCCCUCUGCCCCUGGGGCGACACCGGCCGGCGGGAGAGAGAGACGGAGGGGCAGGGAGGUAGAGGAGGGGGGGCAGCGGGUGCUAUUUCUUGGCUUUGGCCUUCGCUGAAUUCCGUGGCGGAGUGACGGGGCGACCCGAACCCACCCCACCCCCUCCUCCAUAGGAGAAGAGCUUCUUAUCCGCAGGCUUGAGUAUCUGGGAGAGAGAGAGAGAGAGAGAGAGAGAGAGAGAGAGAGAGAGAGAGAGGGGUUAAUACAGACACACUGACUGGACACU